UGGCGGCAUGCCUUACACAUGCAAGUCGAACGGUAACGCGGGGCAACCUGGCGACGAGUGGCGAACGGGUGAGUAAAGUAUCGGAACGUGCCCAAUAGUGGGGGAUAGCCCGGCGAAAGCCGGAUUAAUACCGCAUGAGACCUGAGGGUGAAAGCGGGGGACUCGCAAGAGCCUCGCGCUAGUGGAGCGGCCGAUAUCAGAUUAGGUAGUUGGUGGGGUAAAGGCCUACCAAGCCGACGAUCUGUAGCUGGUCUGAGAGGACGACCAGCCACACUGGGACUGAGACACGGCCCAGACUCCUACGGGAGGCAGCAGUGGGGAAUUUUGGACAAUGGGCGCAAGCCUGAUCCAGCCAUGCCGCGUGCGGGAAGAAGGCCUUCGGGUUGUAAACCGCUUUUGUCAGGGAAGAAAUCCUUUGAACUAAUACUUCGGAGGGAUGACGGUACCUGAAGAAUAAGCACCGGCUAACUACGUGCCAGCAGCCGCGGUAAUACGUAGGGUGCAAGCGUUAAUCGGAAUUACUGGGCGUAAAGCGUGCGCAGGCGGUCUUGCAAGACAGGUGUGAAAUCCCCGGGCUCAACCUGGGAACUGCACUUGUGACUGCAAGGCUGGAGUACGGCAGAGGGGGAUGGAAUUCCGCGUGUAGCAGUGAAAUGCGUAGAUAUGCGGAGGAACACCGAUGGC
RNAcentral lists this ribosomal RNA (684 nucleotides) under uncultured beta proteobacterium. Its description in RNAcentral is "bacterial SSU rRNA". It matches the Rfam family "Bacterial small subunit ribosomal RNA", at positions 37 to 716 of the family's 1533-position model. The record is from RNAcentral. Lineage: Bacteria; Pseudomonadati; Pseudomonadota; Betaproteobacteria.